AUAAGUCCUCAGUAGUUUAUCUCAGCAGUCAGCUCCGGCCUACGCAUCCUCUACGUAGGGGACCGAUGCAAAUAAGUGAAUGAUCUAGCAAAACAAAAAAAUAAAAGAAAGUAAAAAGGCAACUCCGGUAUAGGUGACCCUCACAAAGUCAUUUAAACCAAAGAAUUGUAAAAAUUUGCUACAAAAAGAAAAAGAAAAAGAAAAAAGAAGAAGAAAAACUUA
RNAcentral lists this long non-coding RNA (222 nucleotides) under Lathyrus oleraceus (garden pea). Its description in RNAcentral is "Pisum sativum (pea) long non-coding RNA (PSAT_LNC025202)". The record is from RNAcentral. Lineage: Eukaryota; Viridiplantae; Streptophyta; Magnoliopsida; Fabales; Fabaceae.